RNAcentral lists this ribosomal RNA (502 nucleotides) under uncultured Glomus. RNAcentral's name for it is "SSU rRNA". It matches the Rfam family "Eukaryotic small subunit ribosomal RNA", at positions 569 to 1074 of the family's 1831-position model. Lineage: Eukaryota; Fungi; Glomeromycota; Glomeromycetes; Glomerales; Glomeraceae. The record is from RNAcentral.
AGCAGCCGCGGUAAUUCCAGCUCCAAUAGCGUAUAUUAAAGUUGUUGCAGUUAAAAAGCUCGUAGUUGAAUUUCGAGAUCAAAUUGUUGGUCGUGCCUUGGUACGCACUGGCAUUAUUGGUUUCUCCCUUCUGAAGAACCAUGAUGUCAUUAAUUUGGUGUCUUGGGGAAUCAGGACUGUUACUUUGAAAAAAUUAGAGUGUUUAAAGCAGGCUCGCGCUUGAAUACAUUAGCAUGGAAUAAUGAAAUAGGACGUUUGAUUCUAUUUUGUUGGUUUCUAGGAUCGACGUAAUGAUUAAUAGGGAUAGUUGGGGGCAUUAGUAUUCAAUUGUCAGAGGCGAAAUUCUUGGAUUUAUUGAAGACUAACUACUGCGAAAGCAUUUGCCAAGGAUGUUUUCAUUAAUCAAGAACGAAAGUUAGGGGAUCGAAGACGAUCAGAUACCGUCGUAGUCUUAACCAUAAACUAUGCCGACUAGGGAUCGGAUGAUGUUAAUUUUUAAUGA